This 264-nucleotide unclassified non-coding RNA is filed under the name Hevea brasiliensis (rubber tree). The record is from RNAcentral. Lineage: Eukaryota; Viridiplantae; Streptophyta; Magnoliopsida; Malpighiales; Euphorbiaceae.
GCACAACUAAGUAUCGAAUUUGAAUAGAGGAAAGUGCAAAGUAACCCUUAUUUUAGUUCUGACCUUCAGCUUCUAACCUGCUGGUCUGUCCGGUCCUUCGGACUCUGCUAAUUGUCAUUAGAAAGGUAAUGAAUUGAAUGUUUGAAUCAGGUAGAAUAGAAACAAGUAUACUUGAAAGAACAAGAUCACACUACAUGUUUUAAAAUUGCUCUGGAUUGAACACGAGCAUAAGUUUGAAAUACGAAACCAAGAAGUCGCAAGUAU